RNAcentral lists this ribosomal RNA (468 nucleotides) under uncultured bacterium. Its description in RNAcentral is "partial 16S ribosomal RNA". It matches the Rfam family "Bacterial small subunit ribosomal RNA", at positions 28 to 507 of the family's 1533-position model. The record is from RNAcentral.
GACGAACGCUGGCGGCGUGCUUAACACAUGCAAGUCGAACGGAAAGGCCCUGCUUUUGUGGGGUGCUCGAGUGGCGAACGGGUGAGUAACACGUGAGUAACCUGCCCUUGACUUUGGGAUAACUCUAGGAAACAGCGGCUAAUACCCGAGAGGAUCUUCUGCUGCAUGGUGGGGGUUGGAAAGUUUCGGCGGUUGGGGCUGGACUCGCGGCUUAUCAGCUUGUUGGUCGGGUAGUGGCUUACCAAGGCUUUGACGGGUAGCCGGCCUGAGAGGGGGGCCGGCCACAUUGGGACUAAGAUACGGCCCAGACGCCUACGGGAGGCAGCAGUGGGGAGUAUUGCGCAAUGGGCGGGAGCCUGAUGCAGCAACGCCGCGUGCGGGAUAACGGCCUUCGGGUUGUAAACAGCUUUCGCCUGUGACGAAGCGUGAGUGACGGUAAUGGGUAAAGAAGCACCGGCUAACUACGUG